CGGCGGACGGGUGAGUAAUGCCUAGGGAUCUGCCUGGUAGUGGGGGACAACGUUUCGAAAGGAACGCUAAUACCGCAUACGUCCUACGGGAGAAAGCAGGGGACCUUCGGGCCUUGCGCUAUCAGAUGAGCCUAGGUCGGAUUAGCUAGUUGGUGAGGUAAUGGCUCACCAAGGCGACGAUCCGUAACUGGUCUGAGAGGAUGAUCAGUCACACUGGAACUGAGACACGGUCCAGACUCCUACGGGAGGCAGCAGUC
Molecule: ribosomal RNA, 257 nt
Filed under: uncultured Pseudomonas sp.
Lineage: Bacteria; Pseudomonadati; Pseudomonadota; Gammaproteobacteria; Pseudomonadales; Pseudomonadaceae
Description: partial 16S ribosomal RNA
Rfam family: Bacterial small subunit ribosomal RNA
Source: RNAcentral